This 228-nucleotide ribosomal RNA is filed under the name uncultured bacterium. RNAcentral's name for it is "partial 16S ribosomal RNA". It matches the Rfam family "Bacterial small subunit ribosomal RNA", at positions 15 to 236 of the family's 1533-position model. The record is from RNAcentral.
GAUCAUGGCUCAGGAUGAACGCUAGCUACAGGCUUAACACAUGCAAGUCGAGGGGCAGCAUGUUGGUUGCUUGCAACCAAUGAUGGCGACCGGCGCACGGGUGAGUAACGCGUAUACAACCUACCCUUGUCCAUCGGAUAACCCGUCGAAAGGCGGCCUAACACGAUAUGCGGUUCACAGCAGGCAUCUAACGUGAGCGAAAUGUAAAGGAGAAGGAUGGGGAUGCGU